Molecule: long non-coding RNA, 2047 nt
Organism: Peromyscus californicus insignis
Lineage: Eukaryota; Metazoa; Chordata; Mammalia; Rodentia; Cricetidae
Exons: 2
Source: RefSeq, a predicted model, not a curated record
ACAGCAUGUAUGCCUGCAGGCCAGAAGUGGGCACCAGAUCUCAUUACAGAUGGUUGUGAGCCACCACGUGGUUGCUGGGAAUUGAAUUCAGGACCUCUGGAAGAGCAGUCAGUGCUCUUAACCUCUGAGCCAUCUCUCCAGCCCCCUGCCUCCUGGUUUUUAAGAUCUAUGUCUAGUUAUGUGUGUCUGUGGGUGGGAGUGCAGGUGCCCUCUGAGAAGAGAUUUUGGAUGUACUGGAUCUGGAGUUACACGAUCUGUGAGCUGUCUGACGUGGGUGAUGGGAAGCAGACUCAGGUUCUAUGGAAGGGCAGUCUCAGCCUUGACUGCUGAGCCGCCUCACCAGCCUGCCACCUCCUGUUUUUAACAUUGCUGCAUUGGCUGGAAAGAGUGGGUGGAGCCAGCAUGCACGAAGGAAAUACUUGGCCAUUUCAUGUAAACCUGACUUGCAUGGCCGCUGCCACUGUGCUAUUCUUGACAGCAUAGGAGAAAGACAGUAGUGCCAGGUUCACAUGGUCAGUCCCAUUAGCCUUGACUCUGAGUUGCCCAUUUCCUGAAGCCUCUCCUGGUUCCCAUGGAAGCAGGGUAGUCUCUUGUAUCAUCUUCUGUUAGUGGACUUCUCCGUCCCACCAGACAAUUCCAAAUAACCACUCAGAGUCUUAAUAUUAUAGAUGCUCAGCCGAUAGCUCAGGCUUGUUAUUAGCUAACUCUUACAUUUUAAAUUAACCCAUCUCUCUUAUCUACCCUCUGCCACGUAGCAGUACUUUCUUUCAACACAAUGUGCUCAUCUUGAUUCUCACUGCAUCUGCUCGGGACUACCGAGACUCCGCCCUUCUUCCCGGCAUCCUCUGUGUCGUCUUGUCCCACCUAUACCUCCUACCUAGCUACCUGCUGGUCAGCUCUUUUACUAAACUAAUCAGAAGGUGCCUUGGCAAAGACACAUCUUCACAGUGUACAAAAAGAUUAUUCCACAACAGUCUUCCUGUAUUAUUUGCUAAGUAGAAAUGGAAGUAUGGUGUCUCAUUGGUAAGCAAAGUAGGUCCUCUUUGGAAUCAUAAAACCAUUUACUUCUAGGUCUUUGGUAUGCUUUGGGUUUUGGAUGGUCACAGAAGGAUGAGCUGGCCACAGGUUUACAUUACUACCUGCCAGAUACUCUUUCUCUCCACUUCUCAGCCCCUUUGCUUUCCCUAGGGACCUAUCAUUUCCUAAAUGACAAAACCAUAAAGACUGGAGGGUCCUAUUCAGUGAGAACUAGUAAGCAAGGAAGGAAAACCCUUAGUUUCUAGAGGAAAUGUGUCUUAAAGCCAGGCUUAAAUACACCAUGGAGAACGUGGGCCUGCCAGCCACAAGUGAGGCUGCGGCCCCUCCUGUCAGGGCUUAUCACCUUCAUCCCUGGCCUCCUUGACUGCUGCUCCAAUUGGUUUUCAUUUAUUUGACAUGAUAUGGGGUUUUUGUUUGUUUUAAUGAAAAUAGUUAAAAUUGGGUACCAUAAGUAGUACUGAAUCAAAUGGAAGAAAUAUUGUGUUAAACAGGACCUGCCACUAAGAAGUCCUUGGUUCAUGCUAGGCAUGUAAGAGUGUGUAUGACUUUUCUUUUAUGGAGUAUUACUCCAGCUCAGGUAAUCUCCCACUGUUUUGAGCUGUAAAGAUGGUGGACACUGUCUUUAUGGCUCUAGGAGGCCUGUGUCCUGCUGGGACAUAAUGCAGUUGCUUUUCUUCUAUCUUAUUCCCCUUUAUUUCCAAAGUGAAAUACUCGUGUUAGCCUCUAGCUGGGACUCAGCAUUUCCCACUCCCAUGUUUUGCUAUUUAUUAUUUUUCUUAAUGGUUUGUGAAUGUUGGUAAGUCUUAGUGGCCCUUGUUUGGUUAUGGAAGUCCCAGUAAGACACAGAGCAAUUUGUCAUGAGAAAGCAUUCUUGUCUUUUGUCCAGGGAGUCUCUUUCAUUGGUUACCACUCACAGACUGAGCAGAACCAGUGUGACAUUUUCUUUGUGAAUAGUUACCUCAUCCAUGUUUGAAAAUGUAUGGGUGAAAAAGACAUUUCCAACAACUUA